Felis catus (domestic cat) is the source of this 85-nucleotide non-coding RNA. NCBI's taxonomy places the organism in Eukaryota, Metazoa, Chordata, Mammalia, Carnivora, Felidae. The record is from Rfam.
GCCUGUGUGGCUCAGUCGGUGGAGCGUCCGACUUCAGCUCAGGUCAUGAUCUCACGGUUUGUGGGUUCGAGCCCUGUGUCAGGCU